Molecule: long non-coding RNA, 1198 nt
Filed under: Calidris pygmaea (Spoon-billed sandpiper)
Lineage: Eukaryota; Metazoa; Chordata; Aves; Charadriiformes; Scolopacidae
Description: lncRNA (ENSCPGG00000015133.1)
Source: RNAcentral
GGGGGGUCCCCGGCUCCAUCCCAAGGUGACCCCGGUCCUGGCUCCCCCCGGGGCACGUGAGAGCGGGCGGCCCGCCCGAAAUAGCCCCGGGACAGGGUGGCCCGAGGGGCCCCCGGAGGGGAAGGGGGCGGCUGGGAGAGGCCCCCUACGAGGGGGGUGUGGGGGGGGGGACGGACAUGUGGGGAACAGGGGGGCACCCGGGGCAUGGGGAAAAAUGGGGCACGGGGACACCUUGGGACGCACAGGGCUGGGGGACACCCGGCGAGGGGACACUGCGGGCAAGGGGACACUCUGGGCAUGGGGACACGUGGGGAGACACAGGGCACGGGUGUGUGCGGGGACACGUAGGGCACAGGGGUGCAAGGGGGCACCCAGAGCAUGGGGACACACAGGGACAAACCAGGCAGGGGGACACGCGGGGCUUGGGGACACGCGGGGCUUGGGGGCACAGAGGGCACGGGGACACAUGGGACAACAUGGGGAGACAAGGGACAUGGAGAUACACGGGGGACACGCUGGGCCUGGUCAUACAUGGGGACAUGUGGGGUACAGGGGUGCAGGAGCAUGGGGACACAUAGGGACAAACCAGGCAGGGGGACACAGAGGGCACGGGGACACGGGAAUGGGGACACACGGGAACGGGGAGACAUGGAAGACACACUGGGCCUGGUCAUACAUGGGGACAUGUGGGGGUGCAGGAGGGCACCGAGGGCACGGGAUCAAACGGGGACACACAGGGCAUGGGGACACACUGGGCACGGGUGUGUGGGGGGACAUGUAGGGCACAGGGGUGCAAGGGGGCACCCAGAGCAUGGGGACACACAGGACAUGGGGGACAUGCGGGGAUUGGGGACACAAGGGGGACAUGCUGGGCCUGGUCGUACGUGGGGACAUGUGGGGUACAGGGGUGCAGGAGGGCACCCAGGGCACGGGAUCAAACGGGGACACACAGGGCACGGGGACACACGGGUCAUGGGGACACACGGGACAUGGAGAUGGAUGGGGGACACACACACACGCUGGGCCUGGUCAUGCUUGGGGACAUGUGGGGUACCGGGGUGCAGGAGGGCACCCAGGGCACGGGAUCAAACGGGGACACACUGGGCACGGGGACACUUGGGGACACACAAGGCGUUGGGGUGCGCAGGGCAUGGGGACACGUGGGGCAGAGACCCAUACACGGCCACGCAGGGGUGCA